CGUAGGGUGCGAGCGUUAAUCGGAAUUACUGGGCGUAAAGCGUGCGCAGGCGGUUUAGUAAGACAGGCGUGAAAUCCCCGGGCUCAACCUGGGAACUGCGCUUGUGACUGCUAAGCUAGAGUACGGCAGAGGGGGGUGAAUUCCACGUGUAGCAGUGAAAUGCGUAGAGAUGUGGAGGAACACCAAUGGCGAAGGCAGCCCCCUGGGUCGAUACUGACGCUCAUGCACGAAAGCGUGGGUAGCAAACAGGAUUAGAUACCCUGGUAGUCCACGCCCUAAACGAUGUCAACUAGGUGUUGGAUGGGUAAAACCAUUUAGUACCGGAGCUAACGCGUGAAGUUGACCGCCUGGGGAGUACGGCCGCAAGGUUA
RNAcentral lists this ribosomal RNA (371 nucleotides) under uncultured organism. RNAcentral describes it as "bacterial SSU rRNA". It matches the Rfam family "Bacterial small subunit ribosomal RNA", at positions 526 to 896 of the family's 1533-position model. The record is from RNAcentral.